GCCAAUAUAUUUUGAUAAUGGCGCUUACAAUCACUCUUAUGAGCCAGAGUAUUUCAAAAAAUGGACUGAUUUUUCGUUUCUUGAAGGAAGGGCGAAUCUCUCAAAAUACAGCUUAUCUCAAAACUUAGAAGAAGUGAAGACAGCUCUACCACUUGACCUCUCUGAAAUUUCAAAACAUGAUGCUCCUUGUGUAGAAUGGUAUGCACUGAAAAGAUGCUGGCUAAAGAAACCUGGAGUUACCACAAUUUUUAAUACUUUAACAAGGAUGUUAGAGGCACGUUAAUGAAUUGAAGAACAUGUUCUGCACAGGAAAAUGCAGAGUUUGUGGCUUGGUUUAUUGAAAUACAGUCAGACACCCAAGAUCAGAGAAAUUUUAGAGUGUGAUAUGGGAAACCACCAUCCUCUCAGCCAUCCAUAAGAAAAUGCCACAGGAUCUUGAUGGAAACUGGGAGUGUGGACAUGAAGUACCUUGAAGGCAGACCAGUGAAAAGUGAUGAAGAUAUGGAGAGAAUUCAACAGGUCUUCCAGCAUUCACCACAGAAGUCUGUUUGUAAGGUAUAAAAAGAACUGCAAAUCCUUCAUCCAACAGUGCCCCAAGUACUCCAAAAGCAUCUUCAUCUGUUUCUCUGAACUUGAAUGUCUGACUUAAUUUCAAUCAACCAAGCCACACACUGCACCUUUUCCAUUUUUCAGUUCAUUUAUGUUGCUCUGGUCACUGUGCAGCAACAAAGAAAAAAAAUUUUUUUCAGUUAUGUUGUUCUAGUCACCUGG
Molecule: long non-coding RNA, 771 nt
Organism: Schistocerca piceifrons (Central American locust)
Lineage: Eukaryota; Metazoa; Arthropoda; Insecta; Orthoptera; Acrididae
Exons: 3
Source: RefSeq, a predicted model, not a curated record